Molecule: ribosomal RNA, 259 nt
Filed under: uncultured bacterium
Lineage: Bacteria
Description: partial 16S ribosomal RNA
Rfam family: Bacterial small subunit ribosomal RNA
Source: RNAcentral
CGGGUGAGUAAUACAUAAGUAACCUGCCCUAGACAGGGGGAUAACUAUUGGAAACGAUAGCUAAGACCGCAUAGGUACGGACACUGCAUGGUGACCGUAUUAAAAGUGCCUCAAAGCACUGGUAGAGGAUGGACUUAUGGCGCAUAGCUGGUUGGCGGGGUAACGGCCCACCAAGGCGACGAUGCGUAGCCGACCUGAGAGGGUGACCGGCCACACUGGGACUGAGACACGGCCCAGACUCCUACGGGAGGCAGCCAUG